GACGAACGCUGGCGGCGUGCCUAAUACAUGCAAGUAGAACGCUGAAGGAGGAGCUUACUUCUCUGGAUGAGUUGCGAACGGGUGAGUAACGCGUAGGUAACCUGCCUGGUAGCGGGGGAUAACUAUUGGAAACGAUAGCUAAUACCGCAUAAGAGUAGAUGUUGCAUGACAUUUACUUAAAAGGUGCAAUUGCACCACUACCAGAUGGACCUGCGUUGUAUUAGCUAGUUGGGGGGGUAACGGCUUACCAAGGCGACGAUACAUAGCCGACCUGAGAGGCUGAUGGGCCACACGGGGACUGAGACACGGCCCAGACUCCUACGGGAGGCAGCAGUGGGGGAUCUUCGGCAAUGGACGGAAGUCUGACCGAGCAACGCCGCGUGAGUGAAGAAGGUUUUCGGAUCGUAAAGCUCUGUUGUAAGAGAAGAUCGAGUGUGAGAGUGGAAAGUUCACACUGUGACGGUAUCUUACCAGAAAGGGACGGCUAACUACGUGCCAGCCGCCGCAGUAA
Molecule: ribosomal RNA, 511 nt
Filed under: uncultured bacterium
Lineage: Bacteria
Description: partial 16S ribosomal RNA
Rfam family: Bacterial small subunit ribosomal RNA
Source: RNAcentral